This 564-nucleotide ribosomal RNA is filed under the name marine metagenome. RNAcentral describes it as "bacterial LSU rRNA". It matches the Rfam family "Bacterial large subunit ribosomal RNA", at positions 2362 to 2925 of the family's 2925-position model. The record is from RNAcentral.
AGGGAGCUUGACUGUGAGAGUGACGGCUCGAGCAGGGACGAAAGUCGGGACUAGUGAUCCGGCAGUGGCUUGUGGAAGCGCUGUCGCUCAACGGAUAAAAGGUACCUCGGGGAUAACAGGCUGAUCUUGCCCAAGAGUCCAUAUCGACGGCAUGGUUUGGCACCUCGAUGUCGGCUCGUCGCAUCCUGGGGCUGGAGUAGGUCCCAAGGGUUGGGCUGUUCGCCCAUUAAAGCGGUACGCGAGCUGGGUUUAGAACGUCGUGAGACAGUUCGGUCCCUAUCCGCUGCGCGCGUAGGAAAUUUGAGAAGAUCUAUCCCUAGUACGAGAGGACCGGGAUGGACGAACCUCUGGUGUGUCAGUUGUUCCGCCAGGAGCACCGCUGAUUAGCUACGUUCGGAAUGGAUAACCGCUGAAAGCAUCUAAGCGGGAAGCCAGCUUCAAGAUGAGAUUUCCAUCCCUUAGGGGGAGAGGCUCGCAGCUAGACUACUGCGUUGAUAGGCCGGAUGUGGAAGCGUGGCAACACGUGUAGCUGACCGGUACUAAUAAGCCGAUAACUUGACAACA